GGGUAGCAAUCGGGCCCGAGGAGAAGCUCCGCAUCAAAGCCUUCGGUGGAGUUGCGCGCUAUUAUUUUACCGUAAAUCUUUUAAAUUCUGGAACUAAUUACCUAGAGGAUAUGUCUCAAUUUGUUCUGCAUUAAUGCCACAUUGGGGAUGGAGCCGGGGCCACAACCAGAGCAGAAUCUCGAGUCCACCAAAUUGAUGAGCUGAGAGUUGCUCCAGCCCCGAGCCCGCCAUCUGGAAUUCCUGUCUGAGGUUACAGCUACAACUCUUGACCCCUCAUUCAACUUUGCAACGAAC
This is a non-coding RNA of Ornithorhynchus anatinus (platypus), 294 nucleotides long. The record is from Rfam. Lineage: Eukaryota; Metazoa; Chordata; Mammalia; Monotremata; Ornithorhynchidae.